RNAcentral lists this ribosomal RNA (497 nucleotides) under uncultured bacterium. Its description in RNAcentral is "partial 16S ribosomal RNA". It matches the Rfam family "Bacterial small subunit ribosomal RNA", at positions 28 to 507 of the family's 1533-position model. The record is from RNAcentral.
GAUGAACGCUGGCGGCGUGCUUAAUACAUGCAAGUCGAGCGAACAGACGAGGAGCUUGCUCCUUCGACGUUAGCGGCGGACGGGUGAGUAACACGUAGGUAACCUACCUAUAAGACUGGGAUAACUUCGGGAAACCGGCGCUAAUACCGGAUAAUAUUUUGAACCGCAUGGUUCGAUAGUGAAAGAUGGCUUUGCUAUCACUUAUAGAUGGAUCUGCGCCGUAUUAGCUAGUUGGUAAGGUAACGGCUUACCACGGCAACGAUACGUAGCCGACCUGAGAGGGUGGUCGGCGGCACGGGAGCGUAGACACGGUCCAUACUCCUACGGGAGGCAGCAGUAGGGAAUCGGCCGCAAUGGGCGAAAGUCUGACGGAGCAGCGCGACGUGAGUGAUGGAGGUCUUCGGAUCGGAAAACUCUGUUAUUAGUGAAAAACAAACUUGGAAGUAACUGUGCACGUCGUGACGGUAACUAAUCAGAAAGCCACGGCUAACUACGUG